This 266-nucleotide ribosomal RNA is filed under the name uncultured bacterium. Its description in RNAcentral is "partial 16S ribosomal RNA". It matches the Rfam family "Bacterial small subunit ribosomal RNA", at positions 1174 to 1439 of the family's 1533-position model. The record is from RNAcentral.
GGGGGAUGACGUCAAGUCCUCAUGGCCCUUAUGGGUAGGGCUUCACACGUCAUACAAUGGUCGGUACAGAGGGUUGCCAAGCCGCGAGGUGGAGCUAAUCCCUUAAAGCCGAUCGUAGUCCGGAUCGUAGUCUGCAACUCGACUACGUGAAGUCGGAAUCGCUAGUAAUCGCAGAUCAGCAUGCUGCGGUGAAUACGUUCCCGGGUCUUGUACACACCGCCCGUCACACCAUGGGAGUGGGUUUCACCAGAAGUAGGUAGCUUAAC